This is a long non-coding RNA of Helianthus annuus (common sunflower), 2177 nucleotides long. RefSeq lists it as uncharacterized. The transcript has 2 exons. The record is from RefSeq and is a predicted model, not a curated record. Lineage: Eukaryota; Viridiplantae; Streptophyta; Magnoliopsida; Asterales; Asteraceae.
UCUGCUCUCUUCUUCAAAAACCACAAAAACCUUAUCACCUUCUUCAAAAACCUACAACCUUAUCACCCUUUCCAACAUUUUCAAAACCCUAUCACCCUUGAAACAUCCCAGCCGCACCCCCCUUUCCCUCUCCCUCCCGUUUUCGAACUGGCGACCCACAGGGAGAAGCCGGAGACGACUGUGGUAGCCGGCCACCGUGAGUGGUGGUCCGGCGAAGGUAUGACGGUGGCGGCAUAGACUCGAUGGGUUAGAAAAAGUGAAAAUUUGGCCCAUCUUCAGCUGCAAAUGCUCUGAUGCUAGCUAUUGCCACCUCUUUUUUAUUGUUUUAUCUAUAGAUUUUUUUUUGUCAAAUAAUGCAAGAGACGUAAUGUUGGAGGAGCAAAUACAAAACCCAUAGGUAAAUACAUCCAAAACAGUCACGUGGAGUGACGAGGAUGUAUCUGCCACCUCACCACUCAUAAAUCUCCUCUCUAUAUAAAGCGAAGAGUAUCAACUGCAACCAAAUACAUACAAAGAAGAAGAUGGCUACAGAAAUUGUGGUACAGCUCCAACAUGCUUCCAUCGGUGAUUCCAAAGUGGCUAACCACAGCUGCUGCAAGAACGGACCCGGUUAUGCCACCCCGCUCGACGCCAUGGCUGGCCCCAAAGAGUCCCUCAUCUAUGUCACUUGUGUCUACACAGGUGCGGAAGCUCGAAUUAGCUCUUCUGAACUGGUGGUUGAGAAAGGGAUUAAAGCCGGCUAACCCAAGGCUUCUUCCAGACGCUUUGGGUUGCGUGAGAGAACCGCCACCUAUUUAAGGCAUGUUGUAAAAACUAGAAAAUGAGGUAUUGAAGUCCUUUUAUGUGGCGCAAGCCACCUACGUAUUAUUUAAUUAAUGAAAUCAUAUGUUUUGUACCCGUGUGCAAUUUAUCAAGUUUUAGAGCAUUCCCAUCCAGUCCAUCAUAUAUAGUGUGUGGGGUUUUUAAUAUAUAAAGAGUAUAAAAAGUGGUUGUGAGUGGAGGAGAGAGAAAAUAUUACUGUUCAUCUGUAUAUUUGGGGGGACACUGUUCACCCACUAUAAUUUUUUAAUAUAUAUUGAAAGUGGUUGUGAGUGAAAGAGAGAGAAAAAUGUAAUAUAUAUUUAAAAGGAGAGAGAAAAAGUAUUUGUUUUUAGUGAAAAUAUAUUGAUAUAGGAGUUGUUUUUUAGUGAAAUGUAUGUAUAUUUUUAGUGGAUUGGAUGUGAAUGCUCUUAGUUGUUGAUGGCUUGAGUCUUGGGUUACUUGGACUAGCAGGGCUGGCCCUAAAAAUUUGUGUGCCCUGUUCAAGCUCGAAAAAAUGUGCCCUUCGGCACUAUAAAUGUAAAGUAGUUUUUUAUAUAACUAUUCACGAAAUCAUAGUGUUCGCUCAGACCAAACAAAGAUACUACGGCCAUGUGUUUCGGGUUGCGGGUCGGUUCAACGAUUCGGGCCAAAUAAGGUUUAUCACAUAAUAAAAAACACAAUACAACAAGGAAAAAAUGAAAGUAGCAAACACAUUUCCUAUUUCUCUAAUAUCAUCUAUUUUAGAUUUAAAAUAAAAAACCCUUCAAAAGGGGAAAAGGGGAACUUAACCACUAUAACAGCAAAAAAAUAUAAUAGCAAGCAGGCCUCGAACUGCGAUCUCAAGUUUGGAAAAGGGGAGCUUAACCACUAAGCUAUUCAUCUAAUUAUAUUAGAAUGCUCUUAAAAAAAAUUAUAACAUAUAUAAGUUUUUUUUUUUUUUAAAACGUGCCCUUCGGAAUCUCGGACCCUGGCCGGUGGUCCUCCCCGCCCACCUCCAGGGCCGCCCCUGUGGACUAGCUUGAUGUUAAGUAACUUUUACCAUCCGAGAAAGGCUAUGUAAAACACCCAAUCUUUAGGUCGUAACAUUCCCAGUUUAAUUGAAGGUCCUCGAACCAGCUAUCUAUGUAAAAGACCCAAUUAUAGGUCCUAAAAAGAUUGUUGCUUUAAUUACUCAGUCAAACCGGGUCAGAUUCAGAGUUGCUCGGGUCAAGCUUCGGCUCGGUCUCGGUUCGGGUCUUGCGGUUCGGUAGCGAGUUAUUAUUACGUUAGUUUAGAUUUUAUUUAGUUAACGCGCACCGAGCUCGAACCGAUACUUUAGUGACUUGUUACGUUUGGCAUUUUGAUAGAAAUUUUAUAUAUUGUGUUUAUAUUGUUGA